Molecule: long non-coding RNA, 955 nt
Organism: Callithrix jacchus (white-tufted-ear marmoset)
Lineage: Eukaryota; Metazoa; Chordata; Mammalia; Primates; Cebidae
Source: RefSeq, a predicted model, not a curated record
GCCCGGAGAGGGAUGAGGGGCGGGAGGCGGGGCCGGUGAGGGACGGAAUUGGGCCGCUUUCUUCCUGCUGCUCGGGUACAGCCAUCCUGACCUUAGACCUGGCCGGCGCCUACGGGCACACCACGCGGGCACCAGGCAGGCAGUGAGCUGCCCUCGGUCCAGCAGCCGGGCCUCCUCCUGCCCGCGUGUGCGUCCAGACUAGGCUGGGAGGGGGAGCGCGUGAUGAGGCAGCGGCCGGCUCCCCCAACGUGAGGCCUAGGCAGAUGGCUGGCCAGAGCUAAAUUGAUUCCUAAUGAUUUGUGUCUCUCCCCUGCCCGGCAACGGGUAACUUUUCAUUAGAGACACAGAUGUCUUCAUAAGGCGAUGCCAGGGCCCUCCCACGGCAGCCCCAGCACCCCUCCACUCCGCUGCAGACAUGGGGGUGUCACAGGGGUAAGAGGGUGGGAGGACUGAAGGGUCCAGGAGGAGGCCAGCCACACCCAGCCGUCUGCUGUCUCCAGGAUGCAGGUGGCAGCUGCCCACUCCCCCCAGACCACAGCAGCCCCUGACCUGCUCUUGCAGUGGCCGCUGGGGACACCUCCUAGGCCCUGGGCUGUGUGGGCGCUCCAGCAUCACUCCCUCUCCCUCUCCAGCAGGCCUGUCUGGUGGCCAUCACUCUGCAGCUUCCCUGCCAUGCCCACGGCUCCCCCUUGGCCUCCACUCACUGUCCCCAGAGAGCAAGAGCCAGGAUUCCGUCUCAGAGGGUGCAGGCUUGUGUCUGGAUGUCUUUAUUUUGGCCAGGCUAUUGGUGUGCCUGCCUGUGUGGCAGCUGGAUGCUGGGCCUCCUGGAGCCCAGGGGGGAGCUGCACAAGUCAUGCUGUCCAGAAACCAGGCCCAGGGUGGACAAACCAUGCCUGAUGGAUGACCAGCUCUUGGCUUACAGCACACUCUAUAUUUGUAAAUGACAUUGGCUGUA